RNAcentral lists this ribosomal RNA (253 nucleotides) under uncultured bacterium. RNAcentral describes it as "partial 16S ribosomal RNA". It matches the Rfam family "Bacterial small subunit ribosomal RNA", at positions 524 to 776 of the family's 1533-position model. The record is from RNAcentral.
UACGGAGGGUGCUAGCGUUGUUCGGAAUCACUGGGCGUAAAGCGCGUGUAGGCGGCCCACUAAGUCUGAUGUGAAAGCCCGGGGCUCACCCCCGGAAGUGCAUUGGAAACUGGUGGACUCGAGUCCCGGAGAGGAGGGUGGAAUUCCUGGUGUAGCGGUGAAAUGCGUAGAUAUCAGGAGGAACACCGGUGGCGAAGGCGGCCCUCUGGACGGUGACUGACGCUGAGGCGCGAAAGCGUGGGGAGCAAACAGG